UUACCGGUAGCAGAGAAAUACUCCAUAGAUGCAAGCCUUCAUCUUCACUCUCUCCCUCUCUCUCGCUCUCUCAGAAAUUAUGUGAUCUAACAGAUGCAGAGAAAUACUCCAUAGAUGUAAGCCUUCAUCUUCUCUCUCCCUCUCUCAGAAAUUAUGGGAUCUAACCGAUGUUAGAUCUGAUUGAAAUUUCAGUCGGCUUUUCCCUUCUUUGUGGUCAUGGAAAUUAAUAGUUCCUGUUAGAUGAUUAAAUUUCAGUCAGAUCUUAUACUCAUGAACCGACUAAGACAGAAAUUUCAAUCAGAUCUUAUACUCAUGAACUGUUAGCUGAGUCAUUCAUGGAAAUUUCAGAAUCUGAGUGAUGAUUUUUUAAUUCAAAAUUUUUUAAUUUCCGGAGAUGGAUUCUCAGUCCGAUCGCCGGUGCCGGAG
RNAcentral lists this long non-coding RNA (426 nucleotides) under Panax ginseng (ginseng). RNAcentral's name for it is "long non-coding RNA (PGIN_LNC019257)". Lineage: Eukaryota; Viridiplantae; Streptophyta; Magnoliopsida; Apiales; Araliaceae. The record is from RNAcentral.